GACGAACGCUGGCGGCGUGCCUAAUACAUGCAAGUUGAGCGCUGAAGGUUGGUACUUGUACCAACUGGAUGAGCAGCGAACGGGUGAGUAACGCGUGGGGAAUCUGCCUUUGAGCGGGGGACAACAUUUGGAAACGAAUGCUAAUACCGCGUAAAAACUUUAAACACAAGUUUUAAGUUUGAAAGAUGCAAUUGCAUCACUCAAAGAUGAUCCCGCGUUGUAUUAGCUAGUUGGUGAGGUAAAGGCUCACCAAGGCGAUGAUACAUAGCCGACCUGAGAGGGUGAUCGGCCACAUUGGGACUGAGACACGGCCCAAACUCCUACGGGAGGCAGCAGUAGGGAAUCUUCGGCAAUGGACGAAAGUCUGACCGAGCAACGCCGCGUGAGUGAAGAAGGUUUUCGGAUCGUAAAACUCUGUUGGUAGAGAAGAACGUUGGUGAGAGUGGAAAGCUCAUCAAGUGACGGUAACUACCCAGAAAGGGACGGCUAACUACGUG
RNAcentral lists this ribosomal RNA (497 nucleotides) under uncultured bacterium. RNAcentral describes it as "partial 16S ribosomal RNA". It matches the Rfam family "Bacterial small subunit ribosomal RNA", at positions 28 to 507 of the family's 1533-position model. The record is from RNAcentral.